AAUGAACGUUGGCGGCGUGGAUUAGGCAUGCAAGUCGUGCGACAAGUCCGCUUCGGCGGAUGGAGGAGCGGCGCAAGGGAGAGUAACGCGUAGAUACCUACCCUCGGGUUCGGGAUAGCGGCGGGAAACUGCCGGUAAUACCGAAUAACGUCCCCGGACCAAAGGUGUGAUUCCGCCUGGGGAUGGGUCUGCGUCCUACUAGCUUGUUGGUGGGGUAACGGCCUACCAAGGCAAAGAUGGGUACCGGGUGUGAGAGCAUGGCCCGGCUCACUGGGACUGAGACACUGCCCAGACACCUACGGGUGGCUGCAGUCGAGAAUCUUCCGCAAUGGGCGCAAGCCUGACGGAGCGACGCCGCGUGCGGGAUGAAGGCCUUCGGGUUGUAAACCGCUGUCAGUGGGGAGGAAAUACAUGAGGGUUCUCUCUCAUGUUUGACCGAUCCGCAGAGGAAGUGCAGGCUAAGUUCGUG
RNAcentral lists this ribosomal RNA (469 nucleotides) under uncultured bacterium. RNAcentral's name for it is "bacterial SSU rRNA". It matches the Rfam family "Bacterial small subunit ribosomal RNA", at positions 28 to 507 of the family's 1533-position model. The record is from RNAcentral.